Molecule: small nuclear RNA, 104 nt
Organism: Meriones unguiculatus (Mongolian gerbil)
Lineage: Eukaryota; Metazoa; Chordata; Mammalia; Rodentia; Muridae
Source: Ensembl
AUGCUGGCCCAUGCACAUACACUAAAAUUGGAACUGUGCAGAGAAGGUUACCAUGGUCCCUGCACAAGGAGGACACACAAAUGCGUGAAGUAUUCCAUAUUUUU